Molecule: ribosomal RNA, 828 nt
Filed under: Triticum aestivum (bread wheat)
Lineage: Eukaryota; Viridiplantae; Streptophyta; Magnoliopsida; Poales; Poaceae
Description: partial small subunit ribosomal RNA
Source: RNAcentral
AUGCUCGUGAGGAUCGACGUGCUCACCCACCCAUCCGAGGGAGAGAAUGCGAGGAGCCAAGGCGCGAGCAUGCUGACGUGCACUCGUAAGCUUUUUGGUGACAUGGACGUACACGGGCGAGUGCCCGGCAAGCAUGCGUGGUCCGCAGCCGGAGCCGGCGGGGAGCAGCGCGUCGAUGAGGUCCGCCGGGAUGCCAUGGUCGGCCACAUGCAUGACGUGGCCACGGGCACGUCGGACACGCAGGUGGUUGAUUCUAUGGUCGUUGAGAGAGCUCGAAGUGAGUCACAGAGUACAUCUGGAUCUCUCCAGUCACUAUGUUGGGGAUCCUCAUCCUUUGGGGCAAUUGUGAGCGCAUACUUCAGUGGUUCUCUAGUGGAUACUUAUGGUGUAAGAUUGGUCUUUGGUGUUACGGCAUUUUUACCCCUGAUGACAUCUGCUGUUGCAGUUCUUGUUCUUCUUGUCACUGGGCUCAAUAGGAAGCUGGGGAUAAGUGAUGAAUGGUUCUCCAUUGGGGAUUCCUUGAUUCUCACAGUCCUUGGUCAGGCUUCCUUCAUGCCCGUGUUGGUGUUGGCUGCGAGGUUGUGUCCCCUGGGAGUGGAAGCGACGUUGUUCGCCACCCUGAUGUCCAUUUCGAACGCGGGAAGUGUCGCUGGCGGUCUGGUGGGCGCGGGCCUAACUCAGUUUCUGGGUGUCACAAGGGACAACUUCGACAAUCUGGCUCUGCUGAUCGUGAUCUGCAACCUCAGCUCCCUGCUGCCUCUGCCUCUCCUGGGCCUCCUUCCAGAUGGAUCACCAGAUGCUGAUAAUCGGCAAACUAAAGUUGAUUGA